AUUGAACGCUGGCGGCAGGCCUAACACAUGCAAGUCGGGCGGAUGAAGGGAGCUUGCUCCUGGAUUCAGCGGCGGACGGGUGAGUAAUGCCUAGGAAUCUGCCUGGUAGUGGGGGAUAACGUCCGGAAACGGGCGCUAAUACCGCAUACGUCCUGAGGGAGAAAGUGGGGGAUCUUCGGACCUCACGCUAUCAGAUGAGCCUAGGUCGGAUUAGCUAGUUGGUGGGGUAAAGGCCUACCAAGGCGACGAUCCGUAACUGGUCUGAGAGGAUGAUCAGUCACACUGGAACUGAGACACGGUCCAGACUCCUACGGGAGGCAGCAGUGGGGAAUAUUGGACGAUGGGGGAGAGCCUGAUCCAGCCAUGCCGCGUGUGUGAAGAAGGUCUUCGGAUUGUAAAGCACUUUAAGUUGGGGGGAAGGGCAGUAAGUUAAUACCUUGCUGUUUUGACGUUACCAACAGAAUAAGCACCGGCUAACUUCGUG
RNAcentral lists this ribosomal RNA (484 nucleotides) under uncultured bacterium. RNAcentral's name for it is "partial 16S ribosomal RNA". It matches the Rfam family "Bacterial small subunit ribosomal RNA", at positions 30 to 507 of the family's 1533-position model. The record is from RNAcentral.